UUGGCGGACGGGUGGAGUAACGACGUGGGUAACCGUAGCCUUGCACUGGGGGAUAACACUUAGAAAUAGGUGCUAAUACCGCAUAAGCGCACGGUCCUGCAUGGGACAGUGUGAAAAACUCCGGUGGUGCAAGAUGGACCCGCGUCUGAUUAGCUGGUUGGCGGGGUAAAGGCCCACCAAGGCGACGAUCAGUAGCCGGCCUGAGAGGGUGGACGGCCACAUUGGGACUGAGACACGGCCCAAACUCCUACGGAAGGCAGCAG
Molecule: ribosomal RNA, 263 nt
Filed under: uncultured bacterium
Lineage: Bacteria
Description: partial 16S ribosomal RNA
Rfam family: Bacterial small subunit ribosomal RNA
Source: RNAcentral